RNAcentral lists this ribosomal RNA (253 nucleotides) under uncultured bacterium. Its description in RNAcentral is "partial 16S ribosomal RNA". It matches the Rfam family "Bacterial small subunit ribosomal RNA", at positions 524 to 776 of the family's 1533-position model. The record is from RNAcentral.
UACGUAGGGGACUAGCGUUGUCCGGAUUUAUUGGGCGUAAAGAGCUCGUAGGCGGUUUGUCGCGUCUGCUGUGAAAACCUAAGGCUCAACCUUGGGCUUGCAGUGGGUACGGGCAGACUAGAGUGCGGUAGGGGUGACUGGAAUUCCUGGUGUAGCGGUGGAAUGCGCAGAUAUCAGGAAGAACACCUAUGGCGAAGGCAGCUCUCUGGGACGGUACUGACGCUGAGACGCGAAAGCGUGGGGAGCGAACAGG